RNAcentral lists this ribosomal RNA (885 nucleotides) under Acremonium hansfordii. RNAcentral's name for it is "eukaryotic LSU rRNA". It matches the Rfam family "Eukaryotic large subunit ribosomal RNA", at positions 21 to 941 of the family's 3401-position model. Lineage: Eukaryota; Fungi; Ascomycota; Sordariomycetes; Hypocreales; Bionectriaceae. The record is from RNAcentral.
AUACCCGCUGAACUUAAGCAUAUCAAUAAGCGGAGGAAAAGAAACAACAGGGAUUGCCUAGUAACGGCGAGUGAAGCGGCAACAGCUCAAAUUUGAAAUCUGGCUCUCGGGCCCGAGUUGUAAUUUGUAGAGGAUGUUUCUGGCGACGUGUCUUCCGAGUUCCCUGGAACGGGACGCCAUAGAGGGUGAGAGCCCCGUCCGGUCGUACGCCUAGCCUCUGUGAAACUCCUUCGACGAGUCGAGUAGUUUGGGAAUGCUGCUCAAAAUGGGAGGUAUACGUCUUCUAAAGCUAAAUACCGGCCAGAGACCGAUAGCGCACAAGUAGAGUGAUCGAAAGAUGAAAAGCACUUUGAAAAGAGGGUUAAAUAGUACGUGAAAUUGCUGAAAGGGAAGCGCUCAUGACCAGACUUGGGCUCGGUGAAUCAUCCGGCGUUCUCGCCGGUGCACUUUGCCGGCCCAGGCCAGCAUCAGCUCGCCUCGGGGGAUAAAGGCUUCGGGAAUGUAGCUCCCUCGUGGAGUGUUAUAGACCGUUGCGUAAUACCUGGGGCGGGCUGAGGUACGCGUUCUGCAAGGAUGCUGGCGUAAUGGUCAUCAGUGACCCGUCUUGAAACACGGACCAAGGAGUCGUCUUCGUAUGCGAGUGUUCGGGUGUCAAACCCCUACGCGUAAUGAAAGUGAACGUAGGAGAGAGCUUCGGCGCAUCUCCGACCGAUCCUGAUGUUCUCGGAUGGAUUUGAGUAAGAGCAUACGGGGCCGGACCCGAAAGAAGGUGAACUAUGCCUGUAUAGGGUGAAGCCAGAGGAAACUCUGGUGGAGGCUCGCAGCGGUUCUGACGUGCAAAUCGAUCGUCAAAUAUGGGCAUGGGGGCGAAAGACUAAUCGAACC